AGCCAGAGAUUGAAGACUGCCUUAGGUCUAGCAUAGUUUUGGAUAGUGAGGUUCUUCCACACUACUCUUGGCAAUUGUCCAAUCUGUUGUAAGUAAAGUUUCUUGAUAGAGCAAGCUGGUUGUUGUAGCAUCUGUGACUGCUGCAAUGUAAUAGUAGCAGCAAUGAUCUUCCUAACCAUCCAACUGGCUUGGUUAGGAAUGGUUAGGGAUUGAAAUUGUUGCUGUUUUAUGUACACAGAGUGUAUCCAUUUUAUCCAUAGAACAUCUUUCUUAUUGGCCAGAUCCCAUCCAAGUUUCAUGAUUGUUNNNNNNNNNNNNNNNNNNNNNNNGCAUCCAGCAUCUUUAGUAUUUUUGAAGGAAUAAGAAAAAGCUGAGCCCAGUAUGCUUGUAUACCAAAAAUGACUGACUGCACCAGCUGAACUCUCCCAGCAUAGGAUAAUUUCCUAGCAGUCCAGGAUGUGAUCCUGUCAGUAACCCUAUCCACCAAUGGUUGCCAUUGUAGUAAUGAUAUUUUCUUGGCAGUUAGAGGAACUCCCAAAUACUUGAAAGGUAACUCUCCAUAUACAUAACCAAGAUGAUUGACAAUGUGUUGUUGUGCAUC
RNAcentral lists this long non-coding RNA (601 nucleotides) under Nicotiana benthamiana. RNAcentral's name for it is "long non-coding RNA (NBEN_LNC033224)". Lineage: Eukaryota; Viridiplantae; Streptophyta; Magnoliopsida; Solanales; Solanaceae. The record is from RNAcentral.